CAGGUUGCACCUGGAGACACAAUCCGCAGCCCCUGGGUCUGUGCAGUGACCAGCCAGACUCUGAGAACUUUCCCCUCCAGCUCUUGGGAAAAUGAGGCUUUGGCUCCAUUUAGUUUUGAUUGUGGCAGCUUUGGAAGGUGUCUGGUCCCAGGUGCAGCUGGUGGAGUCUGGAGGGGAUGUGAAAAAGCCCGGAGACUCUCUCCGCCUCUCCUGCAAAGCCUCCGGCUUCACCUUCAGCGACUACCAGAUGGAAUGGGUCCGACAGGCUCCAGGGAAGGGACUGGAAUGGGUGGCUCUGGUUAGCAAACCAACUGGAUCCACGCAACAUUAUUCGCCGGCUGUUCAGGGGCGAUUCACCAUUUCCCGGGACAACUCCGUCAACAUGGUGUAUCUGCAAAUGACCAGCCUGAAGCCCGAGGACACCGCCCGGUAUUACUGUGCGAGACACACAGUGAGGGGAAAUGAAUUUAUACUCAUGCAAAAACCUCCCGCUGUAGAUUGAAAACAACAUAUUCAGCCCUGGGGGACGGUUGAGGGCUAUAAACCACAAUUACCUCAACAACAAGAAACGAGACAAAGGAAGAAAUCAAUUGCAUUGAUGUUUUCUUUCUGUCCGUU
Molecule: non-coding RNA, 618 nt
Organism: Chrysemys picta bellii (western painted turtle)
Lineage: Eukaryota; Metazoa; Chordata; Testudines; Emydidae
Source: the annotation of a RefSeq genome assembly